ACACCAGGCUUAUUAAAGAGUACUUUCUUUUUAACAGAGUGAGAGAAGAGUCACAGCCAAUUCCUCAACUUCUUUGUUCUAGCUGAGUACUAUAUGGGAGGUCCUACCAAUAUCGACCCCCCAGAACUGGGGGUACUACCACCACAAGAUCUAAAGCUGUAGCUGCCACCUACUAACCUCCAUUUAUGGGUCUUUAUUUCUUGUGGUGAAAUGAUGUGCCUUUCCUUGCCCAAAUCCCUUCCUGGUGUGUAUCAACAUUACUUAAUGUCUUCUAAUUCAGUCAUUUUUUUAUAAUAUGUCUUCUGUAAACAUUGAACUUAAAAAUCUUAUUUAUUUACUCCAUUAUUGUAGCAUUUCACAGAUUCAAAAAAGUGUAACUCAGUAAUUUCUUACCAAAUCCUAAAUCUGUCUUUUUUAAAAAAAUAAAUAAAAAAGAGAAUCAUG
Molecule: long non-coding RNA, 444 nt
Filed under: Mus musculus (house mouse)
Lineage: Eukaryota; Metazoa; Chordata; Mammalia; Rodentia; Muridae
Description: long non-coding RNA chr16:58733794-58734238
Source: RNAcentral